Molecule: small nuclear RNA, 144 nt
Organism: Neomonachus schauinslandi (Hawaiian monk seal)
Lineage: Eukaryota; Metazoa; Chordata; Mammalia; Carnivora; Phocidae
Product: U4 spliceosomal RNA
Exons: 1
Source: RefSeq, a predicted model, not a curated record
AGCUUUGCGCAGUGGCAGUAUCGUAGCCAAUGAGGUUUAUCCGAGGCGCGAUUAUUGCUAAUUGAUGGUGGAGGUGAUAUUCUCACACGUCAGGGAUUACCUUGAGCGUCCUGGUCUGCCCUCAAUGACAGAGUAACUAAAUUG